Molecule: ribosomal RNA, 439 nt
Filed under: uncultured soil bacterium
Lineage: Bacteria
Description: bacterial SSU rRNA
Rfam family: Bacterial small subunit ribosomal RNA
Source: RNAcentral
AGAUUGAACGCUGGCGGCAUGCUUUACACAUGCAAGUCGAACGGCAGCACGGGGGCAACCCUGGUGGCGAGUGGCGAACGGGUGAGUAAUAUAUCGGAACGUACCCGGAAAUGGGGGAUAACGUAGCGAAAGUUACGCUAAUACCGCAUAUGCCCUGAGGGGGAAAGCGGGGGAUUCGUAAGAGCCUCGCGUUUUCGGAGCGGCCGAUAUCGGAUUAGCUAGUAGGUGAGGUAAAGGCUCACCUAGGCGACGAUCCGUAGCUGGUCUGAGAGGACGACCAGCCACACUGGAACUGAGACACGGUCCAGACUCCUACGGGAGGCAGCACGUGGGGAAUUUUGGACAAUGGGCGCGAAGCCUGAUCCAGCCAUGCGCGUGAGUGAAGAAGGCGUCGGUGUAAGCUCUUCGUACGCGGUAAACGAACGUCGACGUACGUACG